CCCUUAGAUGUUCUGGGCCGCACGCGCGCUACACUGAUGCAUUCAACGAGUCUAAAACCUGCUCUGAUAGGGGUGGGUAAUCUUUUGAAUGUGCAUCGUGAUUGGGAUAGAUGAUUGCAAUUUUUCAUCUUCAACGAGGAAUGCCUAGUAAACGCAAGUCAUCAGCUUGCAUUGAUUACGUCCCUGCCCUUUGUACACACCGCCCGUCGCUCCUACCGAUUGAAUGAUCCGAUGAGGCUUUGGGAUCUGAGCGGAAAGAGCGUUUCGCUGUUUCUGCUCGGAAAACUCAGUCGAACCUUAUCAUUUAGAGGAAGGAGAAGUCGUAACA
This 328-nucleotide ribosomal RNA is filed under the name uncultured eukaryote. RNAcentral describes it as "partial 18S ribosomal RNA". It matches the Rfam family "Eukaryotic small subunit ribosomal RNA", at positions 1470 to 1796 of the family's 1831-position model. The record is from RNAcentral.